Molecule: long non-coding RNA, 89 nt
Organism: Sander lucioperca (pikeperch)
Lineage: Eukaryota; Metazoa; Chordata; Actinopteri; Perciformes; Percidae
Exons: 3
Source: RefSeq, a predicted model, not a curated record
GUCUAAUGUAUUUGAGUAUUAAUGUGCUUAUAUAUAGGGACCUGUCUAAUGUAUGAGAGUAUUACUAUAUAGGGACCUGUCUAAUGUAU